Molecule: long non-coding RNA, 912 nt
Organism: Sebastes umbrosus (honeycomb rockfish)
Lineage: Eukaryota; Metazoa; Chordata; Actinopteri; Perciformes; Sebastidae
Exons: 3
Source: RefSeq, a predicted model, not a curated record
AUUAUUGGUGAGUAGUAAUUUUAUUUAAUUAAUAAAUCUGUGCAAAGUUUAUCAGUGAUGUUUCCAGUUAGUUUGCAUUACAGAAUAUGUGCAUGUCAUGAUAGAGGGAUUCAACAGCUAGCUAGAAUUUCACAGAUGAUUGCACAUUAAUCGGACAACACAAGGAGCUCAUUUUAAUUUCUAUGUAUUCAAGUUAAUAUCUAAGUUAAUGUGCUGAUACAUGUAUUUUGCCAGUGAAUUCAUGCAUAACGACGGUGUAUACAUUUUACAGUCUAUGGAAGUCCCUUCAACAUUUAAAGUAACAUUAAGACUUCAGUGCACGUUGGUUAUUGGGUGGUAAUUCAGCAGAGCAGAUACAAAAUUGAAGGCAAGUUUAUUUACUAGCUAACUAGUGUUUUUGAAUGAUAUCUGAAAACCACAUGUUCUAUAGAUCAGAUGGUCAGAAUAUUCAUAAUUGAUCAAAAAACAGUUUCUCAGCCAGUAAUGCACACCACUCAACACAAUUCAUUUCAAACAUUGACUAAAAAUCCAUGAAGUUGACUGAGGAAAAUUCUUUCUAAGUUUCAGGUGAAACAGCAGGAAGCUAUUGGCGCUGGAUGGUCAGCCUUGAGGGCCACUUCAUAUGUGAGGGGAUCCAGCCCACCUUCUUGAUGGGGCUUGCUGCAUUAUUUUCCACUUUCUACACCUGCACGCUCAAAUUAAUCUCAAGGUGCACCGUAGGAAUAAACCCUGAGAGAGGCACCAAGGAUGGACAGGGCAAAGUCUUCUCAAAGAAAACUGGCAAAUUCACGAGCUACAAGACAAGACUACAACCGUAUAUCCACAUGUAUCCACUCUGCUGAUGGGACUCAUGGACUUGAGUGGGACUUCAUUUAAAAUGUCAGCGGGCUACCAAGGCUGGAUUGAGAGUAC